RNAcentral lists this long non-coding RNA (1519 nucleotides) under Homo sapiens (human). RNAcentral's name for it is "HSALNT0222879". The record is from RNAcentral. Lineage: Eukaryota; Metazoa; Chordata; Mammalia; Primates; Hominidae.
GGAAAAGCGCUUGAGCCGGUGAGGCCGGGGUUGCAGUGAGCUGAGACAGCACCAUUCCACUCCAGUCUGGGCAACAGAGCACGACUCUGUCUCAAAAAAUAAUGAUAAUAAUAACUGAUGGGGGAGGAGAGAGGAGAGCCAAGAGGAGGAUGGGUAGGUACUGCCCUGAGGACAUGUGGCCAGUUAGUGUCAGAGAAGCUGGGGCUCCCACCCACAAUCCCACACCACCUCUCAGGGCUCCCAGGAGGCUAAGAAGGUGGAGGGGCUUUAAUAUGGUAAGUGAGGCUGAGCGGAAUUGUUUCAAGGGGAUGGGGAGGGGACUAUCUCAUGACAUGGCUUCCGCCUUGGGCUUUGUGGUCUCCCACAUCCGGCCUGCCCAGUAUUCUGUGUCCUGUGGUCUCCUCUGCGCCACUUCCCUGCCUGCAGUAGGGUGUAACAGCCCCACCUGGGAUGUGAUGCAGGUCACCUCACAUGGCACAGUGUUGGCCACUUCCUUUCCUCUGAAGAGGAAACGUGUAUGAGUCUCUGCUUCAUGCCAGGCCUUGUUCUAGGGGCUCGGGGUACAGCAGUGAACAAGAUGAAUGUGGUCCCUGCUCCCACAGAACUGAUGUUCACAUAGGAUAGGGGAAUGAGAAAUGGACCCAUGCCUUAGGAAAACCCAACAGGUGAAGGAGGUAGAGGAUGACUUGGCCGAGGGUGGGGGUACAUUAGCAAUGGCCACUCUAGGGAGGUUUGAGCUGAGGCCUGACUGAUGAGAAGGAGCCAGCCAGAGGAAGGCAUUGGAACUGGCAAGAGUCACAAAUGCAGAGGCCUGGAGUAGGGUUGGCAAGUUCUCCCUUUCUGGGGGAUGCUGUGCGUCCGUUGACCCUUAGGAGACUUGGAUACCUGUGGGAUGGGUUGGAGAUGUCUCUGGUGCCUUAGAAGAAAGUUGACUCCUGGCCUUCCCCUGUGUGAACUCCAAGCACAUCCCCAGGGAAACAUCUGUCUUUGGUCCUGGAUUCCUCCCACCUCAGCCUUCCUGGGGAGUCACGCCACAAGUUAACUCUGCCAGCUGGCUCUGAAGUUUCUCUCAAACCACGAGCAUUUGGGCUGUUUUCUUAGUCCCCCAGCUGGGGCGUGUGGCAAUUGGCUUACCUCAGGGAUCAGGGCACCUCCCAGGCUACCCUUGUACCUUCACCCCAGAACUCUGUCUUCUGACCCACUCAUCACACCCAUUAGUCAGUCUUGCCAUGACCCUUUUCCGCAAAGAAACAAGAUGCACAUCCUCUUCACGGUGAGGAGGGGAGACCCAUGACCCUUGGAGGUGGGGUGGGGGCUGCUAGGGCCCUCACUGGUACUCCACAUAUCUCCUGCACAGAGCCAGACAAUGUCCAGGAUCUUGAGAAGAAUGGACCCUACCAAUGGCAAACCCACAUAUGGUCUCUAACCCACCACAAAUGCUAUACAGGGAGCUCCAGACUGCAAACACACUUGAGGUCCUGUGGCCACACUGUUCUCAUGUCCUGAGGAGUCUGAGGUG